GUCGUCAGCUCGUGUCGUGAGAUGUUGGGUUAAGUCCCGCAACGAGCGCAACCCUUAUCUUCAGUAGCCAGCAGGUAAAGCCGGGCACUCUGGAGAGACUGCCGGGGAUAACCCGGAGGAAGGUGGGGAUGACGUCAAAUCAUCAUGCCCCUUAUGAUUUGGGCUACACACGUGCUACAAUGGCGUAAACAGAGGGAAGCGAGCCCGCGAGGGGGAGCAAAUCCCAAAAAUAACGUCCCAGUUCGGAUUGUAGUCUGCAACCCGACUACAUGAAGCUGGAAUCGCUAGUAAUCGCGGAUCAGAAUGCCGCGGUGAAUACGUUCCCGGGUCUUGUACACACCGCCCGUCACACCAUGGGAGUCGGAAAUGCCCGAAGUCUGUGACCUAACCGUAAGGGAGGAGCAGCCGAAGGCAGGUCGGAUGACUGGGGUGAAGUCGUAACAAGGUGGCCGUAUCGGAAGGUGCGGCUGGAUCACCUC
RNAcentral lists this ribosomal RNA (479 nucleotides) under uncultured bacterium. RNAcentral describes it as "bacterial SSU rRNA". It matches the Rfam family "Bacterial small subunit ribosomal RNA", at positions 1051 to 1529 of the family's 1533-position model. The record is from RNAcentral.